Molecule: ribosomal RNA, 463 nt
Filed under: uncultured bacterium
Lineage: Bacteria
Description: partial 16S ribosomal RNA
Rfam family: Bacterial small subunit ribosomal RNA
Source: RNAcentral
GACGAACGCUGGCGGCGUGCUUAACACAUGCAAGUCGAGCGGUAAGGCCCUUCGGGGUACACGAGCGGCGAACGGGUGAGUAACACGUGAGUAAUCUGCCCAUCACUUCGGGAUAACUCCGGGAAACCGGUGCUAAUACCGAAUAUGACCACUUCAGGCAUCUGAUGGUGGUGGAAAGUUCCGGCGGGGAUGGAUGAGCUCGCGGCCUAUCAGCUUGUUGGCGUGGUAGUGGCCUACCAAGGCUUCGACGGGUAGCCGGCCUGAGAGGGUGACCGGCCACCCGGGGACUGCGACACGGCCCAGACGCCUACGGGAGGCAGCAGUGGAGAGUUUUGGACAAUGGGCGAAAGCCUGAUCCAGAGACGCCGCGUGAGGAAUGACGGCCUUCGGGUUGUAAACCUCUGUCAGCAGGGACGAAGCGCAAGUGACGGUACCUGCAGAAGAAGCACCGGCCAACUACGUG